UUUUACUUGGUUUGUUUUUAGAGCUCUGCACCACCUUGGAAGACUGAAAAACCUCGUGGAUGAAAUGAACGAGAGAAGGUCUAUAGAAUUGAAGGAGGGUGGUGUGUAGCACUGAUGUCUUAUGAUUCCUCAGGGAAUAUCAAAAUAAAUGUUUCUAUAUGUGCUUCACAUUAAAUCUGAUAUCAUUAUGAUUAAUUCGUUUAUUUAUAUUACUUUCACUGCAGUGUGUUAUGAAACCAGACUCAGACAGGAAGUAAGCGCAGGAGUGAAGUCUUUAUUUACAUGAAACGCGGUCUAGACUGGAAGAGGAAAUCGAGGUUUACACAUGAAACUAGACAUGGAAAUCAUUUAACUAAGGCUAUGGCAUGGAACAUGAAACCAAAGCAGAACAUGGAAACAUUACCGCGUGGCACCAUUACACCCAUCCAUCCAUCCAUCCAUCCAUCCAUCCAUCCAUCUACACAUUAAAUAGACCUGAGCCACGAAACAUGAAAACAAACAUGUAACCUAUAAUACUGUGCGACGUGCGCAGCAACUCGAGGCGUUUAAAAAACAAGUUUGAUUACCUCGAGUGUUAACAGCUGGUAACAAUCCUUACAUUCCCUCGAUAAUCAACCAAUGGCUAAACAAGCAGAAAACAGAAACAAACGUGCGUGUCUAUUGUAAACAAAGUCUCUGUGUGACGCACGAGCAUGUGCUCGCUCUGGUUCAUGCAGGCGCGCUCUCUGUGCACAUCAUCGCCACAGCGCCAUCUGCUGGCGAGAUCGUGACACAGUGCCUUAUGAUGAGUCGUCUUUAAUUAACACUAAUUCAUAGUCGUACGACUCUUCUGUCAUUUGCUGUUGAAUUACAAGACAACAUCAUGAUUAUCGUUUGCAGUGUCUUCUCAUCCAGUGACCGAUAAUAUUUUUAAAAUAGAAAUAUCGACCAAUGGGUGAGCAUUCACUGAGUGAUAGCAAUAAAAAUGACCUGUUCCGUUGAAUUUGUGGUUUUAACGCUGUAUAUAAAAAACAGUAGACAAUCCAUUUAUGUGGAAUUGCAUAUCAACAAUCUGCGUUAUUUAUUUGAAGACCUACACACCUCUCCUGUUAGUUCUAAUGUAGGUAUUAAAUAAUAUGCUUCAAUUGAAAGAUCGAGUAAUACGUGAAGGCUCCAGUCAAAACACUUAAUAUUGUGUUUAUAUGACUUUUAUUAUUUUUAUAGCUAGAUUUAACUAGCUUAUAACACAUGGAAUAUAUUUAACUGUUGUCAGGAAGUGAAAUGACACUGAAAAAAAUCAGACAGUUACAUAAUAAAGAUAGAAUUGUAUUCAGAGUGAGUAACAAGACUGUUCUCACAAACACCCUGAUCUGAUCUCCAGGAACUCCAAUUCUCAGAAUCCCCAGUCCAUAACCAGGCCUUCACCCCUGCUCUCGUACACCUACACCCACAUUUCACCUUUAUUCACUGUAGUUCUUUUAGUUCAUAUCUACGUCUUGUUCACUUCUGGUCUGUUUACAUGUGUUUAAUUUUCACUCUCAUUCAUUGGAUAUCGCUCUACUGUACUUGUUAUAUAGGUUUUUGCCUGUUUUCUCACUUUGCCUCCACCUGCCGUUUUUGUGCCUUUUGUCUCGUCUGUUUUUUGAUAAUAAACCAGUGUUUUAUAUUAACCUG
Long non-coding RNA from Ictalurus punctatus (channel catfish), 1653 nucleotides. The record is from Ensembl. Lineage: Eukaryota; Metazoa; Chordata; Actinopteri; Siluriformes; Ictaluridae.